UAUUGCAAAUGCACGUGCAUUGUUGUGCAACUGGUAACCCAAAAAUAAAAAUAUGGUUGUAAAUGCAUUUACCGGUCAUUCUGAUAUUAAUGCUCGCUAUGGGAACACAGGAUGGCCGGGCAGUGAUAGUUGUACAUUUCCAUCACUCGUUGUGUUGAUUUCAUCAUGUCCAUUAGGUGAUGUUUUUACACUAUAGAAUCAUAUUGCAAGUGCGCGCGCAUUUGCAAUAUGUUUCAAUGUGCAUUUACCAUAUGAAAUUUGACAUGCUCAAAAAUGCAAAAUUGACUGGUCUGAUGGACACAGGAUGGCCGAGCAGUGAUAGUUGUACAUUUCCAUCACUCGUUGUGUUGAUUUCAUCAUGUCCAUUAGGUGAUGUUUUUUCACUAUAGAAUCAUAUUGCAAAUGCACGUGCAUUGUUGUGCAACUGGUAACCCAAAAAUAAAAAUAUGGUUGUAAAUGCAUUUACCGGUCAUUCUGAUAUUAAUGCUCGCUAUGGGAACACAGGAUGGCCGGGCAGUGAUAGUUGUACAUUUCCAUCACUCGUUGUGUUGAUUUCAUCAUGUCCAUUAGGUGAUGUUUUUACACUAUAGAAUCAUAUUGCAAGUGCGCGCGCAUUUGCAAUAUGUUUCAAUGUGCAUUUACCAUAUGAAAUUUGACAUGCUCAAAAAUGCAAAAUUGACUGGUCUGAUGGACACAGGAUGGCCGAGCAGUGAUAGUUGUACAUUUCCAUCACUCGUUGUGUUGAUUUCAUCAUGUCCAUUAGGUGAUGUUUUUACACUAUAGAAUCAUAUUGCAAGUGCGCGCGCAUUUGCAAUAUGUUUCAAUGUGCAUUUACCAUAUGAAAUUUGACAUGCUCAAAAAUGCAAAAUUGACUGGUCUGAUGAACACAGGAUGGCUGAGCAGUGAUAGUUGUACAUUUCCAUCACUCGUUGUGUUGAUUUCAUCAUGUCCAUUUGUUUAUGUUUUCUCACUUUUGCAAAGUCACUGUGCAUUUGCAAUAUGGUUCAAUGGGCAGGUACCAUCACGAAUUUGUCAUGCUAUAAAAAUCCUGCAGGAAUGUGAAAUUGACUGGCCCGAUGAACUCGGGAUAGCUGGGCAGUGAUUCUGGUUCAUCUCCAUGGCUCGUUAGGGUUGAUUUCAGAAUGUCACUUUUGGUGAUGGUCCCUCUCCGUUUAAACAUAUUGCUAAUGUACAAAAGUCAACUAGCAAGUCAGUGUCCAUCAGUCAAUUAGAUGUCAUUUUGACACCAAACUGAUACCAAUUGACACCAAACCC
This is a long non-coding RNA of Oncorhynchus keta (chum salmon), 1275 nucleotides long. RefSeq lists it as uncharacterized. The transcript has 3 exons. NCBI's taxonomy places the organism in Eukaryota, Metazoa, Chordata, Actinopteri, Salmoniformes, Salmonidae. The record is from RefSeq and is a predicted model, not a curated record.